RNAcentral lists this ribosomal RNA (253 nucleotides) under uncultured bacterium. RNAcentral's name for it is "partial 16S ribosomal RNA". It matches the Rfam family "Bacterial small subunit ribosomal RNA", at positions 524 to 776 of the family's 1533-position model. The record is from RNAcentral.
UACAGAGGUCCCAAGCGUUGUUCGGAUUCACUGGGCGUAAAGGGUGCGUAGGCGGUCGGGUAAGUCUGAUGUGAAAUCUCACAGCUUAACUGUGAAACUGCAUUGGAUACUAUCCGGCUUGAGGAAUGGAGGGGAGACUGGAAUACUUGGUGUAGCAGUGAAAUGCGUAGAUAUCGGGAGGAACACCAGUGGCGAAGGCGACUACCUGGCCUGUUCUUGACGCUGAGGCGCGAAAGCUAGGGGAGCAAACGGG